Molecule: ribosomal RNA, 302 nt
Filed under: uncultured bacterium
Lineage: Bacteria
Description: partial 16S ribosomal RNA
Rfam family: Bacterial small subunit ribosomal RNA
Source: RNAcentral
GCAGCAGCCACGGUAAUACGGAGGGUGCAAGCGUUAUCCGGAUUUAUUGGGUUUAAAGGGUCCGUAGGCGGAUCUGUAAGUCAGUGGUGAAAUCUCACAGCUUAACUGUGAAACUGCCAUUGAUACUGCAGGUCUUGAGUAAAUUUGAAGUGGCUGGAAUAAGUAGUGUAGCGGUGAAAUGCAUAGAUAUUACUUAGAACACCAAUUGCGAAGGCAGGUCACUAAGAUUUAACUGACGCUGAUGGACGAAAGCGUGGGGAGCGAACAGGAUUAGAUACCCCGGUAGUCCCUGUCUCUUAUAC